RNAcentral lists this small nuclear RNA (23 nucleotides) under Arabidopsis thaliana (thale cress). RNAcentral describes it as "snRNA_16171". The record is from RNAcentral. Lineage: Eukaryota; Viridiplantae; Streptophyta; Magnoliopsida; Brassicales; Brassicaceae.
AUGCCAUGUUCGGGCUGUUGUGU